RNAcentral lists this long non-coding RNA (493 nucleotides) under Equus caballus (horse). RNAcentral describes it as "lncRNA (ENSECAG00000028821.2)". Lineage: Eukaryota; Metazoa; Chordata; Mammalia; Perissodactyla; Equidae. The record is from RNAcentral.
CGGGAAUCCUCACAGGAGGCUCAAAGCUGUGAAGACCAUGCCAGUUCCAGGCCGCAGCAUGGCUGCCGUGGGGAUCUAGCCAUAACAUCUCCUGGGAUGAAUCUAUCUUCAAGAGGAAAGAAAAAAAGCUUUGGGCAAAUAGAUGACUCUGCAUAAUGUGAAUGGGCCUCAUCCAGUCAGUUAAAGGUCCUAAAAAAAAAGACUGACCUUUCAGAAGAGGAAAUUCUUUUAGCAGACGGCCUUGGGACACAAACUGCAGCGUCAGCUCUUCCUUGAGUCUCCGGCAUGCCCACCUGUCCCACAGAUUUUGGACUUGCCAACUCAACGGUUAAAACACAUAAUGAACUUUCAGUAAACAACCUCAUGGACUGAAAAUAGGAGACUUGUUACUGUUCCAACUUCCACAGCCACCAAACCAGCCUUAUCCACAUUCCACGCCAACAGCCAAAUGCCAGUCACGAGACAAAAUCAUUGCUGACUGCAACAGAAAUUU